RNAcentral lists this ribosomal RNA (253 nucleotides) under uncultured bacterium. Its description in RNAcentral is "partial 16S ribosomal RNA". It matches the Rfam family "Bacterial small subunit ribosomal RNA", at positions 524 to 776 of the family's 1533-position model. The record is from RNAcentral.
UACAGAGGUCCCGAGCGUUGUUCGGAUUCAUUGGGCGUAAAGGGUGCGUAGGCGGCGGGGCAAGUCUGAUGUGAAAUCCCGGGGCUCAACCCCGGAACUGCAUUGGUUACUGCCUUGCUAGAGUACUGGAGAGGGUACUGGAAUUUACGGUGUAGCAGUGAAAUGCGUAGAUAUCAGGAGGAACACCGGUGGCGAAGGCGGGUCUCUGGGCAAUAACUGACGCUGAGGAGCGAAAGCGUGGGGAGCGAACAGG